Long non-coding RNA from Papaver somniferum (opium poppy), 1819 nucleotides. RefSeq lists it as uncharacterized. The transcript has 2 exons. NCBI's taxonomy places the organism in Eukaryota, Viridiplantae, Streptophyta, Magnoliopsida, Ranunculales, Papaveraceae. The record is from RefSeq and is a predicted model, not a curated record.
GAAGAUUUUAGUUUUGACGAAGGGUGAGUUGAAUCGGUUUUUCGCUCGAUUCGCAGAGCUUAUUUAGGAUUGAAACCCUAUUUCACAUCUUGUUAGUCUUCUUCAUUUCACCAAAUUUCCAAUAAUGCGCUCAUGAACGGAUUUUCUUUUGUUUAUCUUCUUCUUUGGCUUCAAAUUUGUUUUGCCUUGAUUUUCUUGCCUUGAAAUUUUCUUUGCCUUUUCUUAGUUGCGGUUUUGACUUGGUUGAUAUCCAAAACUUGGAGAUUUCUUUGCUUCUUACUUAAUUAUUUAUACUUAUCACAUAUCUUCUUAACGGCACCUUCAAGCACUACUCCCGAAAAAUCAAGUUGUGUUGCCAAAUCAAGUUGGGUUUAAAAUUGUGACAUUUGGGAAAUUUCAAAAAAAUAAAUUAGAUUUAGAAAGAGAGAAAUAGAGAAAUUUAGAUUAAGAAAAAGAGAAUUAGAGAAAAAAAUUUGUGUAAAAAAUUUUGGGGUAAACAUUUGAGUUUGAUAAAAAACUAGCCGUUGGCGAUAGAAUUAACAUUUGUGUUUAUCGCUGGCGUUAUUCAUAAUAUCGACACUAGAAACUCUGUCGCUCAGUGAUUUUUCCGUAGUGGUACAAUCCGUUUACCAUGCCGCCUGGUAUGUCAAACAUCAUUUUUCGGCAUGUGCAGGAAUAGGCCUAAACAAUGGUCAUUUGGUAAAAACCUUGUUUUCUCCUUCAUAUUGAUCAGGAGUGUUAAUCCUUCUCCCUACACGAAAGAAAAACCUAAGAACUAGAGAAGAGGAGAGCUUGUGAGAUUAUAUCAUGUAAUCAUGAUGAGGAGUUGUAUGAAGAUAUCCUUUUCCCUAUUUUCUUCUUCAUCUUGGAUGAUUUGUUAUCCAUCUUUCUCAAGACAAAAUUGUGGAUAAAUCUUUGGAGAUAUUGGUGAGAACAGGGUUAGAGUUUCAUCGAAAGUGUUGUUGUUGAAGAACUAUGGAGUGGGAUUGCAAGCAAAGGGCAAUGGGUAAUUCGCAAGGAACAUCAAUUUUAUGUAUAAAUGCCUUUAUUUGAGAAUUUUAAAAUUAGGGUUCAUCAUGAAAUUUAGGGAAUUCAAUAGAAACCAUGUUCUUCUAUGAAAAUAUGGAUUGGGUAUUUUGGUUUGUUGCUUAAUUUGUGGUUAAAAAGAUCUUGGUAAGAAAUUGCAUGAUUUGAUUAUAAAUCGAACUUUGAGAACCCUAGAAUCUUUGUUUUUUUUUUUUCUAAUGAUAUCUUUAAAUUUAACUGUUGGAAUAUAUGAAAUUUGAGUAUGUCGUAGUUUAUCUUGUUAUAGGAGUACAGUAAAAAUUUUAUGCGGAUCAGGUCACCUUUGCUACUUCAAAGCUUGCACAAGAUAUGACUGGUCUGUAGAGUUUAAAUCCCGAAUAGGGGACUGAUUCCUAAUUAUCUCAUUCUCCGCUCGUCGGAUAAAGCUGAAAUUUUAGUAUGAUGUUUGUAUCUAUGUAGGUAACCUACUUUAGAAAUUUCAUGACGUUCUGAUGACUUUAGGUACACCAAAGUGUGAGGAAAUCAUAACUGAAUUCUGUGUGUUUAUACCAAAAUCAGCCAUGUUGUAAUGCGCAUAUCUUUAUAACCGUUAGAAUGUGCUGAUUUUCGAAUAUGUUGUGGUAACCUGAGUUAUAAAACUACUGUAAAAUUUUCAAGACGAUCGAAUGUCAUUUGUUACUAAAAGGUGUUGCUAUACUGUGACUUAAUUUCGUAAAGCACUGACAGUCAUGUUUACAUUAAUAUGAACGGUUGAUGGUGUAUAAUGAGCAAAAGGACCUGUUUUGAUGUCCAA